CACGUAGGCGGAUCGUUAAGUCAGGGGUGAAAUCCCGGGGCUCAACCCCGGAACUGCCUCUGAUACUGGCGAUCUCGAGUUCGGGAGAGGUGAGUGGAAUUCCGAGUGUAGAGGUGAAAUUCGUAGAUAUUCGGAGGAACACCAGUGGCGAAGGCGGCUCACUGGCCCGAUACUGACGCUGAGGUGCGAAAGCGUGGGGAGCAAACA
Molecule: ribosomal RNA, 207 nt
Filed under: uncultured bacterium
Lineage: Bacteria
Description: partial 16S ribosomal RNA
Rfam family: Bacterial small subunit ribosomal RNA
Source: RNAcentral